RNAcentral lists this transfer RNA (72 nucleotides) under Camelus bactrianus (Bactrian camel). It matches the Rfam family "tRNA". Rfam says of the family: Transfer RNA (tRNA) molecules are approximately 80 nucleotides in length. Their secondary structure includes four short double-helical elements and three loops (D, anti-codon, and T loops). Further hydrogen bonds mediate the characteristic L-shaped molecular structure. tRNAs have two regions of fundamental functional importance: the anti-codon, which is responsible for specific mRNA codon recognition, and the 3' end, to which the tRNAs corresponding amino acid is attached (by aminoacyl-tRNA synthetases). tRNAs cope with the degeneracy of the genetic code in two manners: having more than one tRNA (with a specific anti-codon) for a particular amino acid; and 'wobble' base-pairing, i.e. permitting non-standard base-pairing at the 3rd anti-codon position. RNAcentral also lists the same sequence under 2 other names. Lineage: Eukaryota; Metazoa; Chordata; Mammalia; Artiodactyla; Camelidae. The record is from Rfam by way of RNAcentral.
GAGGGUAGAGCUCAGUAGUAGAGUGUGUGCUUAGCAUGCACCAGGUCCUGGGUUCAAUCCCCAGGGCCUCCA